AUUGAACGCUGGCGGCAGGCCUAACACAUGCAAGUCGAGCGGAUGAAGGGAGCUUGCUCCUGGAUUAAGCGGCGGACGGGUGAGUAAUGCCUAGGAAUCUGCCUGGUAGUGGGGGAUAACGUCCGGAAACGGGCGCUAAUACCGCAUACGUCCUGAGGGAGAAAGUGGGGGAUCUUCGGACCUCACGCUAUCAGAUGAGCCUAGGUCGGAUUAGCUAGUUGGUGGGGUAAAGGCCUACCAAGGCGACGAUCCGUAACUGGUCUGAGAGGAUGAUCAGUCACACUGGAACUGAGACACGGUCCAGACUCCUACGGGAGGCAGCAGUGGGGAAUAUUGGACAAUGGGCGAAAGCCUGAUCCAGCCAUGCCGCGUGUGUGAAGAAGGUCUUCGGAUUGUAAAGCACUUUAAGUUGGGAGGAAGGGCAGUAAGUGAAUACCUUGCUGUUUUGACGUUACCAACAGAAUAAGCACCGGCUAACUUCGUG
Molecule: ribosomal RNA, 484 nt
Filed under: uncultured bacterium
Lineage: Bacteria
Description: partial 16S ribosomal RNA
Rfam family: Bacterial small subunit ribosomal RNA
Source: RNAcentral